RNAcentral lists this ribosomal RNA (253 nucleotides) under uncultured bacterium. RNAcentral's name for it is "partial 16S ribosomal RNA". It matches the Rfam family "Bacterial small subunit ribosomal RNA", at positions 524 to 776 of the family's 1533-position model. The record is from RNAcentral.
UACAGAGGUCUCAAGCGUUGUUCGGAUUCAUUGGGCGUAAAGGGUGUGUAGGUGGCGCGCUAAGUCGGGUGUGAAAUUUCGGAGCUUAACUCCGAAACUGCAUUCGAUACUGGCGUGCUUGAGGACUGGAGAGGAGACUGGAAUUUACGGUGUAGCAGUGAAAUGCGUAGAUAUCGUAAGGAAGACCAGUGGCGAAGGCGGGUCUCUGGACAGUUCCUGACACCGAGACACGAAGGCCAGGGGAGCAAACGGG